Molecule: microRNA precursor, 78 nt
Filed under: Choloepus hoffmanni (Hoffmann's two-fingered sloth)
Lineage: Eukaryota; Metazoa; Chordata; Mammalia; Pilosa; Megalonychidae
Description: miRNA (ENSCHOG00000015613.1)
Source: RNAcentral
UUCAGUCCCUCAGGUUUGCCUGGGACUGAGGAGUUUUCCAGGAUGCAGGAAUUACAGAGCUAAAACAGGGAAAGUCUG